This 3967-nucleotide long non-coding RNA is filed under the name Marmota monax (woodchuck). The record is from RNAcentral. Lineage: Eukaryota; Metazoa; Chordata; Mammalia; Rodentia; Sciuridae.
UGGACCUGGACAGGACUACGCGGAAACCUCCUCCCGGAGCCCUGAUAAAACAGGAGGGUAGGAGGGACACGCCUCUCCUGAGAGCACCCACCGUCUCCUUCUCUCCCCCUCAAGAGUUUCCUUUUACCCUUUUCCUGCUCCUCCUAAUAGACUCACGCCUGCUACCUGGAGGGACUCACCUGCAAUCCUCUGGCUUGACCGCAAACUCUGGGGGACCAGGAUCUCUCAGUUGCCUUGGCUCCGUGGAUGGCCUUGCUCUGCAGCAGCGAGACGUGGUAGGGAAAUGGCACCCCGUCGUGAAGGUGAUCAGCUCAACCAACCUUGCAGGGAGACCGCAGCCUCAGAGAACACGAUGAUUGACUUAAGAUCGUGGGACUGUGUUCCAGGGGGAGGCUGCUGUUGGUCCCCAGAAAUGUUACUGGGGACCAGUGGUUCUUCAGCCACAGAUUUCCAAAGAGGACCUUGCCAGGUAGUUGAGGGCAAUGUCACCUGCCAUUAGAGUCAUCGGAGCAGGAGCUGAGUGGCUUCAGGCAUUUAAGAUGACCACAGGGUUGAGCUGUUCCCCCUGCGAAUCUUAAGCCACUUGAGCAAGUUAUUCAACCUUUCUGCAUUUCAGUCCUAGAUGCUCGAAUAAUCCUCCCCUAGAAAGGCGAUCAUGAGACUUAAUGAAGGAAACCUUGUGGCUCCACUGGGCACAGGGCUUCGUGCAUAGUGGAGUGAGAAGAAAUAAAUCCUGUGGUCCAUUUUCAAAAUACAGUACAUAGCUUUAAAUGCGAAGUGACUUGGGAUGCAAGAAAGGCAGCCGGAGGGGAGGGCAGAAUGGAAAGUUACAAGUUGGGUCCCCCCAACUCAUCUGACCAAUAGAAUAAACCUCGUAGAUGCCAAAAGGCACAAGAAAACAAAGGGAGGUGGGGACAGCUAAAGGUACUGGUUCCUUGAAAAACCCAACAGGAGACAGUAAAACCUAGGACACUUUCAGGAAUACCCUAUACCCCAUGGUUCUCAGCCAGUGAGGACCUGGGGGAGGGACCCUGGGCUCUAGGGGUUAGAAGGCUGGCUGUCCCCAGUCUGGGUGUGCCUGCUCCCCCCAUCCCCCAGCCAACUCUUGCAAGACACCAGAUCUUGAUCUUGCAAGUCCCAUUAAAGCAAAGCCUGGCUUUCUGCUCUGCCUUAAGUCUCUUGGUUCACUCUUUGGAUGUGGACAGGUGAACGUGGUUCUCACAGCAGGGUGUGAGCGAAUGUGCGUUCCCUUCUUGCCUGCUGGUUGCUGGUCUUUGAAGCAGGAACAAGACCUGGCUCUUCCCUAGAAUUCGGGAGACAGGCAUUAGUGUGUCCGGACCAAGCAACUUCCCUUGAAAGGACAUUAGUUGUGGGGAAUGAGUCCUCGUGGUAAGGGGCUAUCCCUCACCUCUUGUUGGGGAGGGGGAUUAACUGGCGGGUGCCUGGGGACAGCAGCAGAGGUGCUGCAGAGACCCCGAUGUGGCCACUGCCAGACAUUGCAAGGCCAAGGUCAGGGUGCUAUUUCCUCCUAGCCCCAGGCCUGUUUGUACAUUUCCAGGAACUGCAAGUCAAUGGGCAGCUCCACCCUCAAGGGCGGCAGAGGACGGUUUGUUUUUCUCUGGGAUAAUUUCAUUUAAACUUCAGAGUGGACCCUGUCACUCACCAGUGCCCACUGGGUGAUGAAAAUGUCCAAACAGGGAGGAGGAGGAGCCAUUUAAACAAGGGGAGACAAACUUCUAAGUACCACUCUGCAGCCCUGCCCCAGCUCUGCAGUGUGUUGACUAAGUCCAGCUGCUGUGGACAGCCCGCUGCCCUGGAGGUCAAGGGUGAAGAUGGAAAGGAAUUGGCCAAGGUGGCUGCGUCUUCCACUCCCCACCGGGACCUGUCUCCCUCCUGUUCUUUGCUCAAGCUGAACACAGGCCUGAUCCUGGGGUCCUGGCGGCCCCCACCCCUGCAUCGGGGAGUCCUGUCUCGGGAGCAGGUCCGACACCUCUGCUCCUCUCUCUACCCGCUCUCAACACGUCAGUCUUUGCCAGGUUACACAGCCACCGCCUCGGUGCCUGUGUGCUGCUGUGAGGAGUACCGCAGAUUGGGUGGAGCGGACAACGGGAAUUGGUCCUCAGUUCUGGAGGUUGCAAGGUCAAGGUCAAGGUGUCAGUCGUUGACUCCUCCUGAGGGCUGUGGGGAGGAUCUGCUCUGGAUCUGCCCUGGCUCUGCGGGCUUGCAGACUCCUGGGGGAGCGUCCCCCUGGACCUGCCACCACCUCAGGACACCUCCCCUCUGUGGCCGGCCAUGGCCCCCAUUUUUAUAAAGACACAUUAUAUUGGGUUAAGGGUCACCUGAAUGACCUCACUGUCACCUCUGUAAGACCAUCUCUGCAUAAGCUCACGUUCUGAGGAGCGAGGUGGCCAGAAGGCCAACAUUUACUUUUGAAGUAGGACAAAAGUCAACUGGUAACUCCUCUGUGGUCCCUUGUCCCAGGCAGGGGCCAUCUUCAGAAACAAUUCAGGGCUCACUGGCCUCCUUCCUGACUCCUCCAGGAAACCCCCCUGCACCAGGAGAGGUGGAGCCCCUGGUCCCUGGCUGGUGUACAGAAGCUCCCACAUCGUCCUCUUCCUCCCUCCCUCUGUUGGCCUUUGAUAUGCUCCUCAGACACAUCAUGCCCCUUCUACCUUGAAGUCUUCACAGAAGCUCUUUGUUCUUUUUUUAGGAAACUGUCUCCCGAUCUGUCUGAGUCUGGCCACUUCCUGUGGUUCAGGUCUUUCAGAAAUGUCACUGCUGCAGGGGGCCACUUUGACCACGAGAUCAAAACCAGACGUCUCAUCCUUCCCCAGUGCACCACCCUAGUGCAGUUCUCUCCACGGCCCUUAUCACCGCGGGCCUUUCUACUUAUUCGUUUUGUUUCCCUCUUCCACCCAACCCCCUGGGAACCUCAGCUCGUCUGUCAGGUUCAUUUUUAGAUCCCCAGUGUUGGAAGAGUCCUUGGUACAUGGUGGCACCUGGUAGAUACCAACCACAUGAGCAUGUGAGUAUCUGACAGGAGCAGUCUGUGCUCCCUUUUUUGGCUAACUUAGGAAACAGGUAGGGACUUUACUCUGGAAAGAUCUUGUGGGUCAAGUUUUCUCAGCACGAUGGAGCUAUUGGCUGGGCAGGUCUUCGUGCUGCCCUGUGUGCCAGAGUGUUUACUAGAAUCCCUGACCUUCACCCACUAGAUUCCUGUCACCACCCCGUCCCCUGUGGCAAUACAAUGUCCCCACCCCAACCACCCCCACUGAGGGCCAUCUACAGCCUGUGUGACUAAUCACACCCACCUCUCCAGGCCAAGAGGACGGUGACCACCAGGGCCUGACCUGGACCCCUCUCCUUCCCAGGCUAGCUGGGUGUUUCCAUAUUAUAAAUGCUCCCCCUAGGUGCCUGGGGUGGGGGAUGCCAACAAGGGGCCUGGUGGGGUGAGCCCCUGCUGGGCCCUGGUGCCCCUGGCCCCAGCUGUCGUCAGAGCUGAGUAUCCCGACUUACACAAGGUCCAGGGAGGACAGCGAGGACACAGGAGGAAGCGGGAGGACAGGGGGCUUGGCAGCUCUCCACCUGGCCUCUGGGCAGAGCCGGCCAACCCUGACUCCCUGAGCCGCGGCUCGCGUCUUCACCAAGCUCGGCUGGGCUCUGGGCGCUGCGGCAUCCGGGACUCUCCACGCACCUCUCUUUCUUCAGUGCUCAGCCACGAGGCCCCACUGUAAAGCGCUUCCUGCUCCUUCCCCUUUGUGACUCAUCCCCCUCAGGGGCAGCUCUUGGUGGGGGUUGGGGACAGAGGCUUGUGGGAAGAGAAGAGGAUAAGUGAGAACCCAGGGGUGGGUCUUACCCUCAGGCCUGAGAUAUUCCUGUCUGCAAAGGGUCUUGGGGGAUGUCUGCCCCUGCUGGGGGGACAGCUGUAAUGACAAGGAUUUGGGGGGCUUUCCAAGUGGGAAAACAG